AGUAGUUGUUGGGUUAACGUCCCGUAACGAGCGACCUACCUUGUCCUUAGUACCAGCACGUUAAGGUGGGCACUCUAAGGAGACUGCCGGUGACAAACCGGAGGAAGGUGGGGAUGACGUCAAGUCAUCAUGGCCCUUACGGCCUGGGCUACACACGUGCUACAAUGGUCGGUACAAAGGGUUGCCAAGCCGCGAGGUGGAGCUAAUCCCAUAAACCGAUCGUAGUCCGGAUCGCAGUCUGCAACUCGACUGCGUGAAGUCGGAAUCGCUAGUAAUCGUGAAUCAGAAUGUCACGGUGAAUACGUUCCCGGGCCUU
Molecule: ribosomal RNA, 316 nt
Filed under: uncultured Pseudomonas sp.
Lineage: Bacteria; Pseudomonadati; Pseudomonadota; Gammaproteobacteria; Pseudomonadales; Pseudomonadaceae
Description: bacterial SSU rRNA
Rfam family: Bacterial small subunit ribosomal RNA
Source: RNAcentral